UGCUGCCGGCUACAACAGAGAGCCACCAUGCUAAAACCAAGAUUGCGAGGGGAGCAGUUAAAUCUCAAAAACAUUUACAAAGAUGAAAUUUUUCGUCUUUGUCCUGCUUUUACCUGGCCUGAUAGCUUUGGCUGACUGCCCAGAAUACGACAGAUCUGACGGAGUUCCAGAACAUCAGGAUCCAUCGAUUGUGGGCCGAGUGGAGGAGACGAAGUGUCCGAGGCAGGAUGGUAUCGUCUCGGUAAUUCUGACGGAUGUUUGCGGAGAAGACACUGAAGCAGGCGCGCUUUGCCGAGCGCCCCGUGGGAGAAUGACAUACUGUAGUUCGGCGGAAAUUCGGUUGUCGCUGGUGGGGCGGAGCCCCAGCGCCCCCUAUGGGCCAGCCGCCACUGCACUGAAGUAUACGAGUGGUUCUGGACGAACAAUACCAGAAGAGGUUCCUCCACAGUCCAACUGAACGUUACUGACUGAGGUGCUGCAGAUGGAGGCAACACGUCUGGAAACACUACAUUGUAAAAUCAAAGAAUGGCCAUGUCAAACUAAACUGGGCAGAAAUACAAAAGAAAUUUGAAGACUUGAAAAAGAAAAAGAAGUUUCAGAAGAUCCGAAAUCUUAACACUGAUUUUAUAAAAUGUCCGGGAAAUCUCAGUGAUUUAGUGAAGUCUGACUUGAAAUUAAAUCAACAUUUAAUCUGUGGAAAGGAAAUUACUGCUUGUUCUGAAUUUGACUCAGCAGUCAAGGAUUCGAUUUGUGAAGCUUUGUGUACAAUCUGGGAAGAAACGGUUGAAAACAACAGGUUGGAACUUAGAAUUGAAAAAUCCAAAGCAGGUUUGAACAAAUUUGCUGAAAAUUUUCCAAGACGUCAGAAUUGUUCUUCCAGAGGACUCAUACAAUUUAGUUUAGAGAAAAUACUUUCAAACCAACAUGCUACAGUCUGACUGCCACUUUUUGGAUGACAAAAACCUUUGUAGUCCAGAUGUUGUGAAACUGUUACAGUGAUCAAACUGGCCAUCUUUGAUCCAAAAACUUCCAACUUUUUUUGUUUCAUUUGUAUUUAGAUCACUAAUUACUGUAACUGAAUAUCUGUAGUUUUCU
Acanthochromis polyacanthus (spiny chromis) is the source of this 1095-nucleotide long non-coding RNA. RefSeq lists it as uncharacterized. The transcript has 4 exons. The record is from RefSeq and is a predicted model, not a curated record. NCBI's taxonomy places the organism in Eukaryota, Metazoa, Chordata, Actinopteri, Pomacentridae.